CCGGCACGGGUGGAGUAACACGUAUGCAAUCCACCUGUAACAGGGGAGUAACCGGAGAAAUCCGGACUAAUACCCAUAAUAUGGGCGCUCCGCAUGGAGAGCCCAUUAAAGAGAGCAAUUUUGGUUACAGACGAGCAUGCGCUCCAUUAGCCAGUUGGCGGGGUAACGGCCCACCAAAGCGACGAUGGAUAGGGGUUCUGAGAGGAAGGUCCCCCACAUUGGAACUGAGACACGGUCCAA
RNAcentral lists this ribosomal RNA (240 nucleotides) under uncultured bacterium. RNAcentral's name for it is "partial 16S ribosomal RNA". It matches the Rfam family "Bacterial small subunit ribosomal RNA", at positions 100 to 334 of the family's 1533-position model. The record is from RNAcentral.